Molecule: ribosomal RNA, 262 nt
Filed under: uncultured fungus
Lineage: Eukaryota; Fungi
Description: partial 18S small subunit ribosomal RNA
Rfam family: Eukaryotic small subunit ribosomal RNA
Source: RNAcentral
AGACCGGGUAACCGGGGACACUAACGGGUUCGAUUCCGGAGACGGGAGCCUAGAGAAACCGGCUACCAUAUCCACGGAAGGCAGCAGGCGCGCAAAUUACCCAAUCCCGACACGGGGAGGUAGUGACAAUAAAUAACAAUAUAGGGCCCUUUCGGGUCCUAUAAUUGGAAUGAGUACAAUUUAAAUACCGUUAACGAGGAACAAUAUGGAGGGCAAGUCUGGUGCCAGCAGACGCGGUAAUUCCAGCUACCAAUAGCGUAUA